AUCCAGAUGACGAGUACCAAAUAAGACGAAACGCACGUUCUUCUGGAU
RNAcentral lists this non-coding RNA (48 nucleotides) under Trichobilharzia regenti. Lineage: Eukaryota; Metazoa; Platyhelminthes; Trematoda; Strigeidida; Schistosomatidae. The record is from RNAcentral.